AAUAAUGACUCCAAUAUGGAAGAUGAGAACAAAUGGAAGGGCAGAGUUCCCAUUUACUGAAAUAAGUAAGAUCAAUUUGGAGAGAGAAUGAAAUCAAGAGUUCAUUUUUAUAUAUGGUAAUUUUGAGAUGUCUAUUAGAAACACAGCUGGAGAUGUUAAGACAGGUAUCAGUCUCCAGUUCAGGAAAGGAGUCCAAGGUGGAGAUACAAAUUUGAGAGUCAGCUUAUAGAUGUUAUCCAUUAGAAAGUUCGUAUGGAUACAAAAAAGAAGAUAUCUGAGGCCUGAGACCUUGAGCACCUCAGCAUUUAAAAGCCCUGGAGGUGAGGAGGAACUUGCAAAGGAGGCUGAGAAGCAGCAGUCAAUGAGCAAGUGGGACAAACAGCAGCACUCACCCCUACAGGCACCUUCCAGGAGUGUUUGGCCAGUGCCCCUACCAGCUUCCCUGUGAGUUUCAGCAGCACCUGCAAGAAGAGCUUCCCACAGAAUUCUGCUGGUGCCUCAGCCAGCAUCCCAGCUAGAGCAGCACCAGAUAAGUUCCACUGGCACCCCAGCAGGCUUCCCAGUGAGUUCAACGGCUCCUCAAGUGGCUUCCCAGUACAUUCUACUGACACUCCAGGCAGUUUCGCAGGGAGUUUCGUCAGCUCCACAGUGGACACUUUCCUCUUUGCCAGCCCCAGACUGUGGGGCCAUCGAGUGAGCUACUGCCAUACCCUACCCAGUAAGGUCUGAAUCUCAGCCUUCGCGAUGGGGUUAGGGUUUCUUUAAAAAUUUGUGUCUUCUUUGGGUACUCUGCCUCAGCACUAGGAAUAGCAGCUGCUUCCUGUAUCUGCUAUUACUGCAUGCUUUAAAAAAAAAAUUUUUUUACAAUCUCUCAUUUUAUUAUUAUAAUUUUUCUAAAUUUCUUUUUUGUUUUUUUUUUUGAAACAGAAUCUCAUGGUCACCCAGGCUGUAGUGCAGUGGCGCACUCUUUGGCUCACUGCAACCUCCGCCUCCCCGGUUCAAGUGAUUCUCCCACUUCAGACUCCUGAGUAGCUGGGACUAUAGGUGUGCGCCACCACACCUGGCUAAUUUUUGUAUUUUUAGUAGAGAAAGGGUUUCACCAUGUUGGCCAGGCUGGUCUGGAACUCCUGACCCCAAGUGACCCACCCGCCUUGACCUCCCAAAGUGCUGGGAUUACAGGCGUGAACCACCACACCUGACCUAUGAUAGAUUUUAAACAAAGUGACUGAUCAUUCCUACUAUAUAAAGUUUAUCUUACAGCAGUGUGUAUACAUACAUAUCUAAGGCUGUGUAUAUGUAUAUGUAUGUGUAUGUAAUCCAAAAUGAAACAAGCUCCAUAUACCAAAGCAUGCAGCUACUGACAUAAAGAAAAUGUCAAAUUCCUGCAA
This is a long non-coding RNA of Homo sapiens (human), 1388 nucleotides long. The record is from Ensembl. Lineage: Eukaryota; Metazoa; Chordata; Mammalia; Primates; Hominidae.